GAUGAACGCUGGCGGCGUGCUUAACACAUGCAAGUCGAACGAAGCACUUUAUUUGAUUUCCUUCGGGAUUGAUUAUUUUGUGACUGAGUGGCGGACGGGUGAGUAACGCGUGGGUAACCUGCCUUGUACAGGGGGAUAACAGUUGGAAACGGCUGCUAAUACCGCAUAAGCGCACAGCAUCGCAUGAUGCAGUGUGAAAAACUCCGGUGGUAUAAGAUGGACCCGCGUUGGAUUAGCUAGUUGGUGAGGUAACGGCCCACCAAGGCGACGAUCCAUAGCCGACCUGAGAGGGUGACCGGCCACAUUGGGACUGAGACACGGCCCAAACUCCUACGGGAGGCAGCAGUGGGGAAUAUUGCACAAUGGGCGAAAGCCUGAUGCAGCGACGCCGCGUGAGCGAAGAAGUAUUUCGGUAUGUAAAGCUCUAUCAGCGGGGAAGAUAAUGACGGUAC
RNAcentral lists this ribosomal RNA (452 nucleotides) under uncultured bacterium. Its description in RNAcentral is "bacterial SSU rRNA". It matches the Rfam family "Bacterial small subunit ribosomal RNA", at positions 28 to 478 of the family's 1533-position model. The record is from RNAcentral.